UACGAAGGGGGCUAGCGUUGUUCGGAAUUACUGGGCGUAAAGCGCACGUAGGCGGAUUUUUAAGUCAGGUGUGAAAUCCCGGGGCUCAACCUCGGAACUGCAUUUGAAACUGGAAGUCUUGAGACCAGGAGAGGUUAGCGGAAUACCGAGUGUAGAGGUGAAAUUCGUAGAUAUUCGGUGGAACACCAGUGGCGAAGGCGGCUAACUGGACUGGUACUGACGCUGAGGUGCGAAAGUGUGGGGAGCAAACGGG
RNAcentral lists this ribosomal RNA (253 nucleotides) under uncultured bacterium. RNAcentral's name for it is "partial 16S ribosomal RNA". It matches the Rfam family "Bacterial small subunit ribosomal RNA", at positions 524 to 776 of the family's 1533-position model. The record is from RNAcentral.